Molecule: transfer RNA, 74 nt
Filed under: Kiritimatiellia bacterium
Lineage: Bacteria; Pseudomonadati; Kiritimatiellota; Kiritimatiellia
Description: tRNA-Gly
Rfam family: tRNA
About the family: Transfer RNA (tRNA) molecules are approximately 80 nucleotides in length. Their secondary structure includes four short double-helical elements and three loops (D, anti-codon, and T loops).
Source: RNAcentral
GCGGGCGUAGUUCAAUGGUAGAACUUCAGCCUUCCAAGCUGACUAUAGGGGUUCGAUUCCCCUCGCCCGCUCCA